Rattus norvegicus (Norway rat) is the source of this 2149-nucleotide long non-coding RNA. RefSeq lists it as uncharacterized. The record is from RefSeq and is a predicted model, not a curated record. Lineage: Eukaryota; Metazoa; Chordata; Mammalia; Rodentia; Muridae.
UUUUUUUUUUUUUUUUUUUUUCGGAGCUGGGGACCGAACCCAGGGCCUUGCGCUUCCUAGGCAAGCGCUUUACCACUGAGCUAAAUCCCCAACCCCCCCUUUUUAAACAAGUACAAAGUCACUCAGAGAACCCUCAGGAGCAGGUUUCCCAGUGCCUGGUGCUUCAGAGAGGGGCGGCAAGACUCACAGAAGCUAAGUAGGGCAGGCAGUGGCAGCUUGGAGACAAGAUGAAGUAAGUUACCCUGCAUCCGGGGAACAGAGAAAAAUAAACUACUCACAGGCUCAAGGUGGCAAGAAGCAGAAGCCCGGGAGAAGCAGAAGACCCGAAGAAGCACAGCCUGGUCAUUUUGCACCAGUAGUGGAACGAUCACGUGAUACGUUAUCAACACCAACUCUGUACCAAGGUAGGGCUCAUGUUCCCACAAUUGCCGAGGCUGUGCCAACAGCAGCAGCCCUCCACUCCCAGGAGGAUUCCCCAGUCCUACUGCUGUCUCAUUGGAAAACCCCACUAGGGCUAUACAGUGCAACCUCCCUGACUGCUGUAGCCUCACCCUGCUGGGCCAAUGGGGCCAUGAUCUACCAUCUUGUCUCAGAUCCUCCUAGAAGACAAGGAUCCAUAGUGUGGUCUCUUCCAUAUCCCACGCUCAUGUUUUUGUGCUUCAUGUUGGCUCUGCUACUUUAAGUUGUCACAAGCGUAGGACAGAAGUGUUGUCUCGUGCCCUUAGCACAGGUGGCUGUAACGUGUCUCACGGAGAAGAGGCAUGCGUAGAAAAAGCUUCAUCUCAGGCACACUGUGUUGCUGGCUGUGGGUUCAGUCAUAAUGACUCCACAGUGCGUGGGAAACAAGGUUUUUCAGCGUCUGCAGUAACCGAAGGAAACAGGCCAACAGUGACCACGUAACCACACACUGGAGUAAGGUGUCUGACCUAACCUUCUGCUUGACGAAGCUGACUCAAUAUCGGCCUUCACUCUACAGAUGCCAAUAGAAUCCUGAGGGCCAAAUCAAAAGACCUGACUACAGGAGAUGAAGAACAGUUGCCUUGCUACUCUCCCAGAGUCAACGGUUUUUCCACUUCAAUCAUUCUCCCUUUAACCAACAGGAGUAAAGAAUGGCUGUCCCCUGACAAGCUCCACCCAGCAGCUGACUCAGACAGAUGCGGACACCCACAGCCAAACAGUGAAUAGAGCGUGGGGACGCUUAUGGAAGAACAGGAGGAAGGAUUGUGGCUUCCUGGAGGAGAGAGGAACUCCACGGGAAGACCGAAUGAACCAACUAACCUGCAUCCUCAGGGCUCUCAGAGACUGAACUAUCAACCAAAGAACAUACACAGGCUGGACCUAGGACUUCCUGCACAUCUGUAGAAGUGCAGCUUGGUCUCCACGUGGUUCCCAAACAACUGGAAGGGGUGGGGGGAAGGGAGCUUUGAAAGCCCACCCCCCAGUGACACGCUUCCUCCAACAAGGCCACACCUCUUACUCCUUUUAACCCUAUCAAAGAAUUCCACAACCUGGUGCCCAAGCCCUGGAAUACCUGAGUCUAUGCGACCAUUCUUAUUCAAACCACCACGUGGUCUGUCGUGGCAAGGAAAACACAGGCACAGAAGCGAAAGACCUGGUCACGCUGCACCCUGCCUGGAAGCAGAGAGAACAGGUGCCCUUACCCACUGAGCCAUCCUCAGCUCAAGAAAAAUUUUUGAGAAGUUAACUGAGCCAACUUUUAGGGAUUUUUUGUUUCUUUCGUUUUUUUCUUUUUGUUUUGUUUUUUGGUUUUGUUUUGUUUUGGAUUUUGGGUUUGUUUGUUUUUUUUGUUUUUGUUUUUGUUUUUUGGAAACAAGGUUUCACAAUGUAGCUUUCAAGACUAGCCUUGCACUCCCACUGAAGACUUGGUCCCUAGGUAGCUGUGCUAUUUUAGAAAAUGCUGGAAACUACUUUACCUAGUAUGGCCUUGUGGGAAGAAACAUGUCAGUCAGGAGAGCGUCCUUAGGAGAACGUGCCUGCCACUGGUAUACUUUACCUCACGGUGGUCUGAAGCAUCAGAGCCUGUUCAUAACCUGAAACCUGUGAAAACCUGUCAAAAUCCAUUCUUCUUCCUCCGCUUCCUUCAGACACUUGUCACAGUGACUAUGAGAGAGAGAGAGAGAGAGAGAGA